CAGAAAUCACUUACCCCACCUUUAAAUGGAUUCUGACACUCCAUGAUAAUUCAAAAUGCAGUUUCAGUUUGUUCCAUUUUCUUACAUUACACCUUAUUUCUUCUUUUCUACAGGUAGACAGAACAGAAAGAUGUACAUACUAUAUGCCGCUCUUGUCCUUUAUGUGUUUAUACUGACGCUGGCUGUAGGAAUUAAAAUCUCUCAGGUCAGCCAAGAUGUCAAUGAUCUUAGACUUUCUCUGAAGACCCUUGAGGCCCCCAAAACUCUGCAAUUUGAAAAUGCUCACUUCUCUGAGCAUGUGAUGCCGGUGCAAGGUGAGGCUCCUCAUGACU
Molecule: long non-coding RNA, 332 nt
Organism: Sinocyclocheilus grahami
Lineage: Eukaryota; Metazoa; Chordata; Actinopteri; Cypriniformes; Cyprinidae
Exons: 3
Source: RefSeq, a predicted model, not a curated record